GAAACAUCUUCGGGUUGUGAGGUUAAGCGACUAAGCGUACACGGUGGAUGCCCUGGCAGUCAGAGGCGAUGAAGGACGUGCUAAUCUGCGAUAAGCGUCGGUGAGGUGAUAUGAACCGUUAUAACCGGCGAUUUCCGAAUGGGGAAACCCAGUGUGAUUCGUCACACUAUCAUUAACUGAAUCCAUAGGUUAAUGAGGCGAACCGGGGGAACUGAAACAUCUAAGUACCCCGAGGAAAAGAAAUCAACCGAGAUUCCCCCAGUAGCGGCGAGCGAACGGGGAGGAGCCCAGAGCCUGAAUCAGUGUGUGUGUUAGUGGAAGCGUCUGGAAAGGCGCGCGAUACAGGGUGACAGCCCCGUACACAAAAAUGCACAUAUUGUGAGCUCGAUGAGUAGGGCGGGACACGUGGUAUCCUGUCUGAAUAUGGGGGGACCAUCCUCCAAGGCUAAAUACUCCUGACUGACCGAUAGUGAACCAGUACCGUGAGGGAAAGGCGAAAAGAACCCCGGCGAGGGGAGUGAAAAAGAACCUGAAACCGUGUACGUACAAGCAGUGGGAGCCUCUUAAUGGGGUGACUGCGUACCUUUUGUAUAAUGGGUCAGCGACUUAUAUUCUGUAGCAAGGUUAACCGAAUAGGGGAGCCGAAGGGAAACCGAGUCUUAACUGGGCGUUAAGUUGCAGGGUAUAGACCCGAAACCCGGUGAUCUAGCCAUGGGCAGGUUGAAGGUUGGGUAACACUAACUGGAGGACCGAACCGACUAAUGUUGAAAAAUUAGCGGAUGACUUGUGGCUGGGGGUGAAAGGCCAAUCAAACCGGGAGAUAGCUGGUUCUCCCCGAAAGCUAUUUAGGUAGCGCCUCGUGAAUUCAUCUCCGGGGGUAGAGCACUGUUUCGGCAAGGGGGUCAUCCCGACUUACCAACCCGAUGCAAACUGCGAAUACCGGAGAAUGUUAUCACGGGAGACACACGGCGGGUGCUAACGUCCGUCGUGAAGAGGGAAACAACCCAGACCGCCAGCUAAGGUCCCAAAGUCAUGGUUAAGUGGGAAACGAUGUGGGAAGGCCCAGACAGCCAGGAUGUUGGCUUAGAAGCAGCCAUCAUUUAAAGAAAGCGUAAUAGCUCACUGGUCGAGUCGGCCUGCGCGGAAGAUGUAACGGGGCUAAACCAUGCACCGAAGCUGCGGCAGCGACACUAUGUGUUGUUGGGUAGGGGAGCGUUCUGUAAGCCUGUGAAGGUGGCCUGUGAGGGUUGCUGGAGGUAUCAGAAGUGCGAAUGCUGACAUAAGUAACGAUAAAGCGGGUGAAAAACCCGCUCGCCGGAAGACCAAGGGUUCCUGUCCAACGUUAAUCGGGGCAGGGUGAGUCGACCCCUAAGGCGAGGCCGAAAGGCGUAGUCGAUGGGAAACAGGUUAAUAUUCCUGUACUUGGUGUUACUGCGAAGGGGGGACGGAGAAGGCUAUGUUGGCCGGGCGACGGUUGUCCCGGUUUAAGCGUGUAGGCUGGUUUUCCAGGCAAAUCCGGAAAAUCAAGGCUGAGGCGUGAUGACGAGGCACUACGGUGCUGAAGCGACAAAUGCCCUGCUUCCAGGAAAAGCCUCUAAGCAUCAGGUAACAUCAAAUCGUACCCCAAACCGACACAGGUGGUCAGGUAGAGAAUACCAAGGCGCUUGAGAGAACUCGGGUGAAGGAACUAGGCAAAAUGGUGCCGUAACUUCGGGAGAAGGCACGCUGAUAUGUAGGUGAAGCGACUUGCUCGUGGAGCUGAAAUCAGUCGAAGAUACCAGCUGGCUGCAACUGUUUAUUAAAAACACAGCACUGUGCAAACACGAAAGUGGACGUAUACGGUGUGACGCCUGCCCGGUGCCGGAAGGUUAAUUGAUGGGGUUAGCGGCAACGCGAAGCUCUUGAUCGAAGCCCCGGUAAACGGCGGCCGUAACUAUAACGGUCCUAAGGUAGCGAAAUUCCUUGUCGGGUAAGUUCCGACCUGCACGAAUGGCGUAAUGAUGGCCAGGCUGUCUCCACCCGAGACUCAGUGAAAUUGAACUCGCUGUGAAGAUGCAGUGUACCCGCGGCAAGACGGAAAGACCCCGUGAACCUUUACUAUAGCUUGACACUGAACAUUGAGCCUUGAUGUGUAGGAUAGGUGGGAGGCUUUGAAGUGUGGACGCCAGUCUGCAUGGAGCCGACCUUGAAAUACCACCCUUUAAUGUUUGAUGUUCUAACGUGGGCCCGUAAUCCGGGUUGCGGACAGUGUCUGGUGGGUAGUUUGACUGGGGCGGUCUCCUCCUAAAGAGUAACGGAGGAGCACGAAGGUUGGCUAAUCCUGGUCGGACAUCAGGAGGUUAGUGCAAUGGCAUAAGCCAGCUUGACUGCGAGCGUGACGGCGCGAGCAGGUGCGAAAGCAGGUCAUAGUGAUCCGGUGGUUCUGAAUGGAAGGGCCAUCGCUCAACGGAUAAAAGGUACUCCGGGGAUAACAGGCUGAUACCGCCCAAGAGUUCAUAUCGACGGCGGUGUUUGGCACCUCGAUGUCGGCUCAUCACAUCCUGGGGCUGAAGUAGGUCCCAAGGGUAUGGCUGUUCGCCAUUUAAAGUGGUACGCGAGCUGGGUUUAGAACGUCGUGAGACAGUUCGGUCCCUAUCUGCCGUGGGCGCUGGAGAACUGAGGGGGGCUGCUCCUAGUACGAGAGGACCGGAGUGGACGCAUCACUGGUGUUCGGGUUGUCAUGCCAAUGGCACUGCCCGGUAGCUAAAUGCGGAAGAGAUAAGUGCUGAAAGCAUCUAAGCACGAAACUUGCCCCGAGAUGAGUUCUCCCUGACCCUUUAAGGGUCCUGAAGGAACGUUGAAGACGACGACGUUGAUAGGCCGGGUGUGUAAGCGCAGCGAUGCGUUGAGCUAACCGGUACUAAUGAACCGUGAGGCUUAACCUU
Molecule: ribosomal RNA, 2924 nt
Filed under: Escherichia coli 3003
Lineage: Bacteria; Pseudomonadati; Pseudomonadota; Gammaproteobacteria; Enterobacterales; Enterobacteriaceae
Description: bacterial LSU rRNA
Rfam family: Bacterial large subunit ribosomal RNA
Source: RNAcentral